GUUAGGAAUAUUGGACAAUGGGCGCAAGCCUGAUCCAGCCAUGCCGCGUGAACGAUGAAGGCCUUCGGGUUGUAAAGUUCUUUAGCCGAUGAUUAUAAUGACUGUAGUCGGAAAAUAAGCCCCGGCUAACUUCGUGCCAGCAGCCGCGGUAAUACGAAGGGGGCGAGCGUUAUUCGGAAUCACUGGGCGUAAAUCGUGCGUAGGCGGUCUCGGAAGUUAGGAGUGAAAGCCCAGGGCUCAACCUUGGAAUUGCUCUUAAAACUGCAAGGGUAGAAUCUCGGAGAGGAUAGCGGAAUUUCCAGUGUAGCAGUGAAAUGCGUAGAUAUUGGAAGGAACACCAGUGGCGUAAGCGGCUAUCUGGACGAGUAUUGACGCUGAGGCACGAAAGCGUGGGGAUCAAACAGGAUUAGAACCCCGUGUAGUCC
RNAcentral lists this ribosomal RNA (425 nucleotides) under uncultured bacterium. Its description in RNAcentral is "partial 16S ribosomal RNA". It matches the Rfam family "Bacterial small subunit ribosomal RNA", at positions 354 to 796 of the family's 1533-position model. The record is from RNAcentral.